This 585-nucleotide ribosomal RNA is filed under the name uncultured bacterium. RNAcentral describes it as "bacterial SSU rRNA". It matches the Rfam family "Bacterial small subunit ribosomal RNA", at positions 102 to 685 of the family's 1533-position model. The record is from RNAcentral.
ACGGGUGCGGAACACGUACACAACUUACCUUAAGGUGGGGGAUAGCCCAGGGAAACUUGGAUUAAUACCCCAUAAGACAGGGGGCCCGCAUGGGUCAAUUGUUAAAGAUUUAUUGCCUUAAGAUGGGUGUGCGUCUGAUUAGGUAGUUGGUAGGGUAACGGCCUACCAAGCCGACGAUCAGUAACUGGUGUGAGAGCACGACCAGUCACACGGGCACUGAGACACGGGCCCGACUCCUACGGGAGGCAGCAGUAAGGAAUAUUGGUCAAUGGGCGGAAGCCUGAACCAGCCAUGCCGCGUGGAGGAUGAAGGUCCUCUGGAUUGUAGACUUCUUUUAUCAGGGGCGAAAAAGGGCCAUUCUUGGUCAACUGACGGUACCUGAUGAAUAAGCACCGGCUAACUCCGUGCCAGCAGCCGCGGUAAUACGGAGGGUGCAAGCGUUAUCCGGAUUUACUGGGUUUAAAGGGAGCGUAGGCGGGUAUGUAAGUCAGUGGUGAAAGCCCUCAGCUUAACUGAGGAACUGCCAUUGAUACUAUAUAUCUUGAAUGUUGUGGAGGUUUGCGGAAUAGGUCAUGUAGCGGUGAA